RNAcentral lists this long non-coding RNA (1025 nucleotides) under Heterocephalus glaber (naked mole-rat). Its description in RNAcentral is "lncRNA (ENSHGLG00000044761.1)". The record is from RNAcentral. Lineage: Eukaryota; Metazoa; Chordata; Mammalia; Rodentia; Bathyergidae.
CACAGCUCCAUGCCAAGUUCUGGCCUUUGAUGUGGUUUCCCACAAGCCGGAACCAUGACCCCAUCCCCAGAGUCGCCCGGCCAGAAGAAAGCCUCCAGCAUCCGCACUCAGACAACCACAAGCCAGCGUGUCCCGGUCCCCCAGCCUUGUGUUAAUCUCACAUUCACUCAUCCGACACUUACCGCUGGGUGCCUCAGAAGGAGCUGCAGACACAAGAGCGAGCAGACAGAGGGGAGCUCCUGCGUGGUAUGGGGCAUAGAGCUCACUGCACAGGGACAUGUGUGAUGACAACUCGUGUGUUCCUGUAAAGGACAAGGAGAGGGAGCCCAGUGACAGUGUCCUCAGGACUCUGACCUGCACUGGGGCUGCACACAGGCUUCCCUUAGGAUCAGGGCCACAGCGACAGGAUCUACACCACCGGGAUGUAAGUCGCCUCCCGCAUCUUCCCCCAGAUCACCGCUCACUACAGAAGGAACAGGGGCACUUUUACGAGGGAGAAAUAUGUCACCACUUUCACCACUGGGCAGUGGUCACACCACCACCAAGCGGACGGCUGGGACGUGCUCGGUGCUGUCCCAACAGGGGCCAAUGUCCUUCAGCUGCAUCACUGCCACACCUGCUGCCUGACUCUGACACUGAGGGGCCACCAGUGACCCAAAUGGACAGGCGGCCCAGCCUGCACACUCCAUGCUCACCAGUGUCCCAGGGGACAGGCUGAGCACCCACUCCAGGCUCAAGGUCUCUCCCUUUGAAGGUGGCGAAGGGGCCACAUGCCAAGGAACGCAGACACCUGCAGGACAGUUCUCCCCGGGGGGGGGGGCGGUGCCCAAAGGACCAGCCCUGCUGCUACCCCGAUUUGGGGACCCCCAGAGCUCUGAGAUAAUACAUUUGUGUUGUGAAAGCCACUGAGUUUUGGUGGUUGUUUACAAACAAGGGGAAAAGAAAAGGACAGGUGGCCAAACAGAAACAGAAUUGAUGUGACCUUGUGUAACUGCUUUUUCGACUUGUCCAUGAUUCAAAGUGAC